AACGAACGCUGGCGGCAUGCCUAACACAUGCAAGUCGAACGAGACCUUCGGGUCUAGUGGCGCACGGGUGCGUAACGCGUGGGAACCUGCCCUUAGGUUCGGAAUAACUCCCCGAAAGGGGUGCUAAUACCGGAUAAGGUCUUCGGACCAAAGAUUUAUCGCCUUUGGAUGGGCCCGCGUUGGAUUAGCUAGUUGGUAGGGUAAAAGCCUACCAAGGCGACGAUCCAUAGCUGGUCUGAGAGGAUGAUCAGCCACACUGGGACUGAGACACGGCCCAGACUCCUACGGGAAGCAGCAGUGGGGAAUAUUGGACAAUGGGCGAAAGCCUGAUCCAGCAAUGCCGCGUGAGUGAUGAAGGCCUUAGGGUUGUAAAGCUCUUUUACCCGGGAUGAUAAUGACAGUACCGGGAGAAUAAGCUCCGGCUAACUCCGUG
This 433-nucleotide ribosomal RNA is filed under the name uncultured bacterium. RNAcentral describes it as "partial 16S ribosomal RNA". It matches the Rfam family "Bacterial small subunit ribosomal RNA", at positions 29 to 507 of the family's 1533-position model. The record is from RNAcentral.